AACACAAUGAAACAAUUCAUGUUGAACGUGUAUUUCAUAAUUUUUACGUGGGUUAAAGGCAAAAGUUGGAACAACUCGCAUACUCUUUUUAUCUCCUGUAUGUAGUGAUGUAGGGGUGUCAGCAAACAAGGAAACUGACAUUUUUCCCCCUGAGAAAGGAGAAUUCUAUCUAACUGCACAUGAACAAAAUUUAGAAAAAAAAACUCUAUGCCCAAAGCAACGUCACUACCAAAAAUAAGAUGAAGGCAAGUCCAAAACAGACUCCAACAAGUGCCAUGAAAGCCUUCCCCUCAGACUCGAACUUAAAUUUGACAGUGAACCAUGACAAUCCUCUGUCAACAAAAGGUGCAAGAGCAAGGGCCCUGAAGAAGAGUAACCUCUUUAAGAAAUGGACACACUUCAAAAUGUAUACUGCAUUCAUAAUUAUAUGCUUCACACUCUAAAACAAUAAAAACAGCAAUCACUAUCAAAAUUACACAAUUCUAAAUAGAAAUGUCAAUGUAACAAUCUCAUUAAAAACAUGAGAAAAAUAAGCACAACAAUAAUCAUUAUUAUUCGUAUGAGAAUAUCAGUUUUCAAAACCCUAUAGGGACGGGUGCAAGAAUUUGGCAUGAUUAAUAAACCAAGAAAAUUUAAGUAAUAAAUAAAUGUGCAACAAGUUCAGGUUAUUCAUGAAUAUCAUCAUAGACUGGAAAAUUUAAGAUGGUAAUUGAGUUCUAGCAGCUCACCCUCCAGCUCUUACAAGCUUAGUAACUUGACUCCCUGCCCACACCAUGGCCAUCACUUUCAGAAAUCUGCAAAUUAUAACAAUUUUGGCAUCAUUUUCUACUCUCAUUAGUCCUGAGAAAAAGACUGCUUACCUUUCAACAGCAGCGAAGUAACCCAUUUUUGCAGGAGAUGGAGCAACAUAAAACCUAGCAAGCAUAUGAAAUAGUAUUAAACAGUCAUAGGACCUCAACUGAGAGAUAUGCCAAAAACACCACUGAUACAAUCCGCAAACAACAUUUUCUCUGGACCACGAUGCACUUAGUUCUACAUGAAAAUAAAUCCAAAUACACUUCGAACUUUGUUACAAUGGAAAUCAUCACCAACAAAGUUGCUACAUGCUCCUCAUCUAUUUUUCUGCCAUCAUAUAUAAGAGAAAAUCUAAUAACUCUAACAAAUGAUGAGAGGUAGGAGCAGAAGAAGACCUUAUCCUAAUCUCCUACAAUCUGCCCAACCCUAAAUUUAAAACACCUCUCUCUCUCUUUUGGGGGUGGGGGUGGGAGGAGGGGCAAAAAGAGAGUAUGUUGGAGAUAUGGUGCAAUGAGAAGAAACAUACAUCAAUUUAUUUGAAAAGUUAUUUCACUCACCACACCAACAGAAAGGUUGUGAGGUAGUAUGCAGUAUUCAAAAGCCCAUAGGACAAUAUUCCAGAAAUUCCAUAUCUCUUCAGUUUCUUCAGUAUCUCGCUGGAUGUGAGUGAUUCUUGACCAUUAUUGGUUUUCUCCCUCGAACCUGAAAAACUUGAAGUGAAAUUUUAAUUAUGAAAUACAAUAGCCGGCAUCAAAAUGUAACUCAUUAUAAGCAACUACAUGAAGAAAUAAUAUACCUUCAACGUUAGAAGUAGAGAUGUCAGGAUUUGACGAACCAUAAGCCUGACCUUAAUAUCAUGUACAAAACAUAAGCAUGUUUAGAAUACACUACCUAAUUUUAACAGAAAAUGGAAAGAAGCAUACUUAUAAAAUAAUAGCACGGUCACUGCCUAUAAUAAUCAAGUAAAUAUUCAGCUAAACUAAAUGAAAAUCAAUCAUUUCGGGCAAUCCGAAUAGGGAUUUUGUGAAUUGUCAAAAAGCGGCUAAAUUUGAAUUCUCAAUUAAUAGAAUCUGUCACUCACGUUGCUUUCGCCGUUAACUGAGCAGAGACGUCGAGUAUGACUCCAAUGCAGCGAAGAAUUCUCCAACUUCUGCAGGUUAUAAUGCCUUGAAACGCCAGAAAUGAAGUUGCAGGGGAGGUCGUUGAAACCCAGGUGAUGCAACGAGAGGAUACAGCAGCCUGUGAUUUUCAGAGAGAAAGACGACAUUGGUGAAUAGGAG
Molecule: unclassified non-coding RNA, 2075 nt
Filed under: Hevea brasiliensis (rubber tree)
Lineage: Eukaryota; Viridiplantae; Streptophyta; Magnoliopsida; Malpighiales; Euphorbiaceae
Source: RNAcentral